GGAGUUGUGGCUCAAGUGGUAGAGUGCUUCCCUAGCGUGGGUGAGGCACUGGGUUCGAUCCUCAGCACCA
This 70-nucleotide transfer RNA is filed under the name Marmota monax (woodchuck). RNAcentral's name for it is "tRNA.Ala". Lineage: Eukaryota; Metazoa; Chordata; Mammalia; Rodentia; Sciuridae. The record is from RNAcentral.